UAAAUAACAAUANAGGGCUCUUUUGGGUCUUAUAAUUGGAAUGAGUACAAUUUAAAUCCCUUAACGAGGAUCAAUUGGAGGGCAAGNCUGGUGAACUAUCCNGUCNAUGCUUCNGGCGCCAGAAANAGCGAUUCANCUNGUCGAGCUUCUCUUUNNNAUGGGCAGAANCCGGCAAGGUNNCCUGGUACGGGGAAUCCCUAGCUUUCAAAGUGGGAGAUCCCGUGACNAGUUCAAUAUGAACCGUUGUANCGCGCGCAAAGGUACCGGUCAGUCUAUACAUCANAGGUCUGGCUCANGGGACGUGCUAUUCCCCCCGAAAGGNUGUUUAACUGUGGAGCGCCCAUUACGCAAUACAGUUGAAAUANUGAUACAAUCNUUAUNGUUUCUUGANAGGCCAGCAGCCGCGGUAAUUCCAGCUCCAAUANCNNAUAUUAAAGUUGUUGCCGUUAAAAAGCUCGUAGNCGAACUUCGGCCUCUGCCGCCCGGUCCGCCUAUUUGGGUGUGUACUGGAGCGGUGGAGGCUUACCUCGUGGUGAGCAAUCAUACCCUUCACUGGGCGUGGUUGGGAACCAUGAUUUUUACUUUGAAAAAAUUAGAGUGUUCAAAGCAGGCUUACGCCCGAAUACAUUAGCAUGGAAUAAUAAAAUAGGACGUGCGGUUCUAUUUUGUUGGUUUCUAGGAUCGCCGUAAUGAUUAAUAGGGAUAGUUGGGGGCAUUCGUAUUCAAUUGCUAGAGGUGAAAUUCUUGGAUUUAUUGAAGACGAACUACUGCGAAAGCAUUUGCCAAGGAUGUUUUCAUUGAUCAAGAACGAAGGUUAGGGGAUCGAAAACGAUCAGAUACCGUUGUAGUCUUAACAGUAAACGAUGCCGACUAGGGAUCGGACGAGGAUUUUUAAUGACUCGUUCGGCACCUGAAGAGAAAUCUUUAAGUCUAGGUUCGGGGGGGAGUAUGGUCGCAAGGCUGAAACUUAAAGGAAUUGACGGAAGGGCACCACCAGGUGUGGAGCCUGCGGCUUAAUUUGACUCAACACGGGGAAACUCACCAGGUCCAGACACGACAAGGAUUGACAGAUUGAUAGCUCUUUCUUGAUUUCGUGGUUGGUGGUGCAUGGCCGUUCUUAGUUGGUGGAGUGAUUUGUCUGGUUAAUUCCGAUAACGAACGAGACCUUAACCUGCUAAAUAGCCCGGCCGGCUUUGGCUGGUCGCUGGCUU
Molecule: ribosomal RNA, 1211 nt
Filed under: uncultured Cyphobasidiales
Lineage: Eukaryota; Fungi; Basidiomycota; Cystobasidiomycetes; Cyphobasidiales
Description: partial 18S ribosomal RNA
Rfam family: Eukaryotic small subunit ribosomal RNA
Source: RNAcentral